UAGGGAGGAGCUUGCNUCACAUUAGUUAGUUGGUGGGGUAAAGGCCUACCAAGACUAUGAUGUGUAGCCGGGCUGAGAGGUUGAACGGCCACAUUGGGACUGAGACACGGCCCAAACUCCUACGGGAGGCAGCAGUAGGGAAUUUUCGGCAAUGGAGGAAACUCUGACCGAGCAACGCCGCGUGAACGAUGAAGUAUUUCGGUACGUAAAGUUCUUUUAUUAGGGAAGAAUAAAUGAUGGAAAAAUCAUUCUGACGGUACCUAAUGAAUAAGCCCCGGCUAACUAUGUGCCAGCAGCCGCGGUAAUACAUAGGGGGCAAGCGUUAUCCGGAAUUAUUGGGCGUAAAGGGUGCGUAGGCGGUUAAAUAAGUUUAUGGUCUAAGUGCAAUGCUCAACAUUGUGAUGCUAUAAAAACUGUUUAGCUAGAGUAAGAUAGAGGCAAGUGGAAUUCCAUGUGUAGUGGUAAAAUGCGUAAAUAUAUGGAGGAACACCAGUAGCGAAGGCGGCUUGCUGGGUCUUUACUGACGCUGAGGCACGAAAGCGUGGGGAGCAAACAGGAUUAGAUACCCUGGUAGUCCACGCCGUAAACGAUGAGUACUAAACGUUGGGUAAAACCAGUGUUGAAGUUAACACAUUAAGUACUCCGCCUGAGUAGUACGUACGCAAGUAUGAAACUUAAAGGAAUUGACGGGACUCCGCACAAGCGGUGGAUCAUGUUGUUUAAUUCGAAGGUACCCGAAAAACCUCACCAGGUCUUGACAUGCUUCUGCAAAACUGUAGAAACACAGUGGANGUUAUCAGUUGCACAGGUGGUGCAUGGUUGUCGUCAGCUCGUGUCGUGAGAUGUUGGGUUAAGUCCCGCAACGAGCGCAACCCUUAUUGUUAGUUACCAGCACGUAAUGGUGGGGACUUUAGCAAGACUGCCAGUGA
Molecule: ribosomal RNA, 929 nt
Filed under: Candidatus Phytoplasma asteris-related phytoplasma
Lineage: Bacteria; Bacillati; Mycoplasmatota; Mollicutes; Acholeplasmatales; Acholeplasmataceae
Description: bacterial SSU rRNA
Rfam family: Bacterial small subunit ribosomal RNA
Source: RNAcentral